UGUGAGGCGCGAGCUGCAACAUCAACCAAUCUUGAUUCUUUGAAGAAAGACUUGAGUAAGAGCAUAAUCGGUAGGACCCGAAAGAUGGUGAACUACGGUUGAGUAGGGUGAAGCCAGGGGAACUCUGGUGGAGGCUCGAAGCGUUACUGACGUGCAAAUCGUUCGUCAAACUUGACUGUAGGGGCGAAAGACUAAUCGAACCAUCUAGUAGCUGGUUCCCUCUGAAAUUUCUCUCAGGAUAGCAGGAACAGAUAUAGCAGUUUUAUCAGGUAAAGCUAAUGAUUAGUGGAAUCGGGGGUCUCCGAUCCUUGACCAAUUCUCAAACUUUAAAUUGGUAAGAACCAGAAGUUUUCUUAAUUGAACUUUUGGGCAGAAUGCAUUGUUCUUAGUGGGCCAUUUUUGGUAAGCAGAACUGGCGAUGAGGGAUGAACCUAACGUUGAGAUAAGGUGCCCAAAUUCACGCUCAUCAGACACCAUAAAAGGCGUUGGUUAGUUUAAACAGCCGGACUGUGGCCAUGGAAGUCGGC
Molecule: ribosomal RNA, 527 nt
Filed under: uncultured eukaryote
Lineage: Eukaryota
Description: eukaryotic LSU rRNA
Rfam family: Eukaryotic large subunit ribosomal RNA
Source: RNAcentral